CCUACGGGAGGCUGCAGUAGGGAAUAUUGCUCAAUGGGGGAAACCCUGAAGCAGCAACGCCGCGUGGAGGAUGAAGGUCUUCGGAUUGUAAACCCCUGUCAUGUGGGAGCAAAUUAAAAAGAUAGUACCACAAGAGGAAGAGACGGCUAACUCUGUGCCAGCAGCCGCGGUAAUACAGAGGUCUCAAGCGUUGUUCGGAAUCACUGGGCGUAAAGCGUGCGUAGGCUGUUUCGUAAGUCGUGUGUGAAAGGCGCGGGCUUAACCCGCGGACGGCACAUGAUACUGCGAGACUAGAGUAAUGGAGGGGGAACCGGAAUUCUCGGUGUAGCAGUGAAAUGCGUAGAUAUCGAGAGGAACACUCGUGGCGAAGGCGGGUUCCUGGACAUUAACUGACGCUGAGGCACGAAGGCCAGGGGAGCGAAAGGGAUUAGAUACCCGAGUAGUC
Molecule: ribosomal RNA, 445 nt
Filed under: uncultured bacterium
Lineage: Bacteria
Description: partial 16S ribosomal RNA
Rfam family: Bacterial small subunit ribosomal RNA
Source: RNAcentral